Molecule: long non-coding RNA, 692 nt
Organism: Ipomoea triloba (trilobed morning glory)
Lineage: Eukaryota; Viridiplantae; Streptophyta; Magnoliopsida; Solanales; Convolvulaceae
Exons: 6
Source: RefSeq, a predicted model, not a curated record
GACCCACAGGCACCAUCGUUUGACCCUCCAGCAGCAACACCGACUCACCGGCCUUCCUCCUUCACACCUCCAAAGAAAACAAAAUACUGCUUAGAGCAUUUGGCUGGGGAGUUAUAAGAAAAUGGGUUGAGAUACAGAACUGCUUUAGGAUCAAGAAAGAGUUCUUACAUGCAUCAUCAACAACUCCGACUCCAAAAAUAAAGGAGAGUGGGCCAAAAGAGGAUUUGCAAAACACUGGCAGUGAAAGGCAAUACUAACUUGUGAUUAUUGGUGGAGUUUGUGGUGGGGCAGCUGCAACAGUUAGGACUAUAUAUAUAUUGAAAUCUUUAUCUUUGAGCAGCCAGCCAGAGAAUGCCUAAUGCAAAGCAAAAGAAUAAAAGGUUGAUGUCCCAACCACCAAUAGAAUCUAAUUCCGAAACAAAUCAACCAAGUCUAGCAAAUGAUGUCCAAAACUCUAGCCAACCAUCAAAUACUUUCCCACAGUCCAGUCGAAAUAGUGAUUCGGAGCGCACUAUAUCAGCAUCACCAAAUAAUGUUCCAUCACCUCCAACUUCACCAAGCAGCAGGCCCACAGUACUCCCCAUUGGGAACAAAUCGUUUGAGCCAUGGGGUGCAAAUAGAGAUGUUAUCGAAUGUGUUACUAGAAUAUUCCCUGAUGCUGUGAAAUCAUACAAUGACGCUCCUAGACAUAU